This is a long non-coding RNA of Amblyraja radiata (thorny skate), 400 nucleotides long. RefSeq lists it as uncharacterized. The record is from RefSeq and is a predicted model, not a curated record. Lineage: Eukaryota; Metazoa; Chordata; Chondrichthyes; Rajiformes; Rajidae. The transcript has 3 exons.
UGAACCUUUCCAUCGCGGUGUCUUAUCCCAGGGCAGAACCUCAGUAGAAGGAGCCGCCAUCUUAGCGGGAAGGCGGGAAGCUCGCGCCGCGCGGCCGCUUCAAACGGUGACCAACGGUCGGCGGCGGUGGACAGGGCGGCGGGUUGUCUUCUUGUGCAUCGCUAACGGCGGACCAAAAAGCCGCUCGGAGUCACCGUGUAAUUAGACGAAACGUCAGCAUGGACUGGAUGUCGUCGAUUGCAAUAAUCAUCUUCAUACUUUGUAAUUUACUUCAGUUUCUGAAUUUUACAGGUAGUGUAUAUAUCUGGUUCUUUUUCUGUGCACUUUGUUGCAGUUUUCUCUACAUGUAUAUAAUGCUUAAAGUGUUGAAAACUGAAACCUUCAAUAAAGUAUGCUGUGG